This 483-nucleotide ribosomal RNA is filed under the name uncultured bacterium. RNAcentral describes it as "partial 16S ribosomal RNA". It matches the Rfam family "Bacterial small subunit ribosomal RNA", at positions 30 to 507 of the family's 1533-position model. The record is from RNAcentral.
AUUGAACGCUGGCGGCAGGCUAACACAUGCCAGUCGAGCGGAUGAAGGGAGCUUGCUCCUGGAUUCAGCGGCGGACGGGUGAGUAAUGCCUAGGAAUCUGCCUGGUAGUGGGGGAUAACGUCCGGAAACGGGCGCUAAUACCGCAUACGUCCUGAGGGAGAAAGUGGGGGAUCUUCGGACCUCACGCUACCAGAUGAGCCUAGGUCGGAUUAGCUAGUUGGUGGGGUAAAGGCCUACCAAGGCGACGAUCCGUAACUGGUCUGAGAGGAUGAUCAGUCACACUGGAACUGAGACACGGUCCAGACUCCUACGGGAGGCAGCAGUGGGGAAUAUUGGACAAUGGGCGAAAGCCUGAUCCAGCCAUGCCGCGUGUGUGAAGAAGGUCUUCGGAUUGUAAAGCACUUUAAGUUGGGAGGAAGGGCAGUAAGUUAAUACCUUGCUGUUUUGACGUUACCAACAGAAUAAGCACCGGCUAACUUCGUG